GAGUUUGAUCAUGGCUCAGAGCGAACGCUGGCGGCAGGCUUAACACAUGCAAGUCGAGCGGGCGUAGCAAUACGUCAGCGGCAGACGGGAGAGUAACACGUGGGAACGCGCCCUUCGGUUCGGAAUAACUCAGGGAAACUUGAGCUAAUACCGGAUACGCCCUUACGGGGAAAGAUUUAUUGCCGAAGGAACGGCCCGCGUCUGAUUAGCUAGUUGGUGAGGUAAUGGCUCACCAAGGCGACGACGGGUAGCUGGUCUGAGAGGAUGGCCAGCCACAUUGGGACUGAGACACGGCCCAGACUCCUACGGGAGGCAGCAGUGGGGAAUCUUGCGCAAUGGGCGAAAGCCUGACGCAGCGACGCCGCGUGUGGGAUGACGGCCUU
RNAcentral lists this ribosomal RNA (383 nucleotides) under uncultured Alphaproteobacteria bacterium. RNAcentral describes it as "bacterial SSU rRNA". It matches the Rfam family "Bacterial small subunit ribosomal RNA", at positions 9 to 418 of the family's 1533-position model. The record is from RNAcentral. Lineage: Bacteria; Pseudomonadati; Pseudomonadota; Alphaproteobacteria.